RNAcentral lists this ribosomal RNA (502 nucleotides) under Staphylococcus sp. P0-2a. RNAcentral's name for it is "bacterial SSU rRNA". It matches the Rfam family "Bacterial small subunit ribosomal RNA", at positions 26 to 510 of the family's 1533-position model. The record is from RNAcentral. Lineage: Bacteria; Bacillati; Bacillota; Bacilli; Caryophanales; Staphylococcaceae.
AGGAUGAACGCUGGCGGCGUGCCUAAUACAUGCAAGUCGAGCGAACAGACGAGGAGCUUGCUCCUCUGACGUUAGCGGCGGACGGGUGAGUAACACGUGGAUAACCUACCUAUAAGACUGGGAUAACUUCGGGAAACCGGAGCUAAUACCGGAUAACAUGUUGAACCGCAUGGUUCAACAGUGAAAGACGGUCUUGCUGUCACUUAUAGAUGGAUCCGCGCCGCAUUAGCUAGUUGGUAAGGUAACGGCUUACCAAGGCAACGAUGCGUAGCCGACCUGAGAGGGUGAUCGGCCACACUGGAACUGAGACACGGUCCAGACUCCUACGGGAGGCAGCAGUAGGGAAUCUUCCGCAAUGGGCGAAAGCCUGACGGAGCAACGCCGCGUGAGUGAAGAAGGUCUUCGGAUCGUAAAACUCUGUUAUUAGGGAAGAACAAAUGUGUAAGUAACUAUGCACGUCUUGACGGUACCUAAUCAGAAAGCCACGGCUAACUACAUGCCA